AUACGAAGGGGGCUAGCGUUGUUCGGAAUCACUGGGCGUAAAGCGCACGUAGGCGGACAUUUAAGUCAGGGGUGAAAGCCUGGAGCUCAACUCCAGAAUUGCCUUUGAUACUGGGUGUCUUGAGGCCGGUAGAGGUGAGUGGAACCGCUAGUGUAGAGGUGAAAUUCGUAGAUAUUAGCAAGAACACCAGUGGCGAAGGCGGCUCACUGGACCGGUACUGACGCUGAGGUGCGAAAGCGUGGGGAGC
RNAcentral lists this ribosomal RNA (247 nucleotides) under uncultured bacterium. RNAcentral describes it as "partial 16S ribosomal RNA". It matches the Rfam family "Bacterial small subunit ribosomal RNA", at positions 523 to 769 of the family's 1533-position model. The record is from RNAcentral.